Molecule: long non-coding RNA, 1200 nt
Filed under: Macaca mulatta (Rhesus monkey)
Lineage: Eukaryota; Metazoa; Chordata; Mammalia; Primates; Cercopithecidae
Description: lncRNA (ENSMMUG00000052839.1)
Source: RNAcentral
UUCAUGGAUUUAUGCACUCGAGGGGUGUCCUCAUAGGCCCUGGGCUUCAGCCAGAGCAUUGCAAUGAGACUCUAGAGGCAACAUUGGGCUGAUCACUUUGAGCACCAAAACUCUAGAAAUUAGAUGUGUUUGUAUGUGUGUAAAUCAGGCUGCAGCUGUGUGCAUAUGUGUGUGUGUUGUGCACACACCUCCUUAAGUGAGGCCUUGUGGGAGCCCAGAGGCUGCUGUUAGCCUCCAGCUUGACAGGCUCCAAAGGAAGCUCUGGAAUGCUUGGUUCUCAGGCUCCGUUUCGCUAUUGUGUAGGAUUCUUGUGGGGACAUGGUGCUCCAGCUGCUUAUGCAAAUUUGUUAUCCAGGCGCCCCAUCCAGGCAUAGCACAGCCUCAGUCUGGAAAUUUCACACACAAAGGUGACUGAGCAGCCACUCCUUCCUCUUGUGCUUAUGGCAUGGGACCUUGUGCAGGGACCCUGUCCCUGUAUCUCUACAACACCAAAUGAGUGAGCAGAGACACGUCUCUCCUUCCACGCAGCUCAACACGUCUUUGUGUGGGAAUACAUCUUCCAAGUGGAGAAGCAGGUUCUGGCUAAGGGGCCAUGGAGGUGCUCUUGGUGUUCGGCCCUCCCCAGCCUGGGGUUCCUCCAUCUUCCUCCGCCUCAGAGAUAUCCAGGGUGUCAGUGGCAUCUGCUUGGAACUCGCAGCUCUCCUGGGCCUUAUAUGCUCCCACUCAGAGUGGACUCCAGCAGGGGAGGUUUGCACUCAGAGCAUACGUCCAGUCCACCACUGGUUCUGCCUGCACUGUGACAGGAAGUAGGGGAUGGAGAACAGGAAGUGGAUCUAAUCAACUGGUGCCCAAUCAAACGGAUCUUCUUGUCCUCACCAACCAUCCCCAGGUUCCCCAACUGAGCACCACAUGCUUGAUGUCCAUUCCAAGGCAAAUCAGGAAAUCCUGUAACACCAACUGGACAGAACCUCAGGGAUCAGCUGAACAAUACCCUUAUGUUAUAGACCAGGAACCUGGCAGUGGAAGGGACUCACCUACAGCCACACAGCAAGACACCCAAAGAGGUGAGGCUUGACGCCACAUAGAUUCCUUCCCAACCCAUUGUUACUUUUGCAAUGCCAUGCCGAUUGACGUAAAGAUAUCAAAUCUAAUUUUUGAUGGAGCAUUAUUCAUUCAUUCAGAUGGGUUUCUGUUAAGUAU